RNAcentral lists this ribosomal RNA (453 nucleotides) under uncultured fungus. RNAcentral describes it as "eukaryotic LSU rRNA". The stretch from base 103 to 256 matches the Rfam family "5.8S ribosomal RNA". The record is from RNAcentral. Lineage: Eukaryota; Fungi.
CCGACCCUGUUGCCUCGGGGGCGACCCGGACUCGUGCCGGGGCCCCCGAUGGACCUUCAAACACUGCAUCUUUGCGUCCGAGUCAGUAUUUGAAUAAAUCAAAACUUUCAACAACGGAUCUCUUGGUUCUGGCAUCGAUGAAGAACGCAGCGAAAUGCGAUAAGUAAUGUGAAUUGCAGAAUUCAGUGAAUCAUCGAAUCUUUGAACGCACAUUGCGCCCUCCGGUAUUCCGGGGGGCAUGCCUGUUCGAGCGUCAUUUCACCACUCAAGCCUGGCUUGGUCUUGGGCGAUCGCGGUCCGCCGCGCGCCCCAAUGUCUCCGGCUGAGCGACCGUCUCGAAGCGUUGUGGUAACCCAAAUCGCUUGCGGAGUGCGGGAGUUCGGGCCGUUAAACACCCCCAUACAGGUUGACCUCGGAUCAGGUAGGGAUACCCGCUGAACUUAAGCAUAUCAA